This 253-nucleotide ribosomal RNA is filed under the name uncultured bacterium. RNAcentral describes it as "partial 16S ribosomal RNA". It matches the Rfam family "Bacterial small subunit ribosomal RNA", at positions 524 to 776 of the family's 1533-position model. The record is from RNAcentral.
UACGUAGGGUGCAAGCGUUAAUCGGAAUUACUGGGCGUAAAGCGUGCGCAGGCGGUUAUGUAAGACAGGGGUGAAAUCCCAGGGCUUAACCUUGGAACUGCAUUUGUGACUGCAUAGCUAGAGUACGGUAGAGGGGGAUGGAAUUCCGCGUGUAGCAGUGAAAUGCGUAGAUAUGCGGAGGAACACCGAUGGCGAAGGCAAUUCCCUGGACCUGUACUGACGCUCAUGCACGAAAGCGUGGGGAGCAAACAGG